RNAcentral lists this long non-coding RNA (383 nucleotides) under Homo sapiens (human). RNAcentral's name for it is "HSALNT0393209". Lineage: Eukaryota; Metazoa; Chordata; Mammalia; Primates; Hominidae. The record is from RNAcentral.
UCUCAUCUCAGCCUCCCGAGUAGCUGGGAAUUACAGGCCUCCUAAAGUGCAAGAAUUACAAGUAUGAGCCACUAUGCCUGGCCCCCACCCUGCCUAUUGAGAACCAAAAGAAGGAACCAAAUUCUCCGUAGCUCAACUCGAGCCAUUUCCUGAUUUCUUCAUCAGGAAUGAGCUGGUUAUUGGGCUGUCCAGGCCUCUCAAGCAGCACAGAAAUGAGAAACAGGAUCUUGCUCUCUCACCCUGGAUGGAGUUCAGUGGUGCAAUCACAGCUCAUUGUAGCCUCAACCCCCCAGGCUAGCAAUCCUACCACGGCCUUUCGAGUAGCUGUGACUACAGGUGAGCGCCAUGACACUCAGUGAAUUUUCAAUUUUUCGGUAGAGGUG